UACGUAGGUCCCGAGCGUUGUCCGGAUUCAUUGGGCGUAAAGCGAGCGCAGGUGGUUUAUUAAGUCUGGUGUAAAAGGCAGUGGCUCAACCAUUGUAUGCAUUGGAAACUGGUAGACUUGAGUGCAGGAGAGGAGAGUGGAAUUCCAUGUGUAGCGGUGAAAUGCGUAGAUAUAUGGAGGAACACCGGUGGCGAAAGCGGCUCUCUGGCCUGUAACUGACACUGAGGCUCGAAAGCGUGGGGAGCAAACAGG
RNAcentral lists this ribosomal RNA (252 nucleotides) under uncultured bacterium. RNAcentral describes it as "partial 16S ribosomal RNA". It matches the Rfam family "Bacterial small subunit ribosomal RNA", at positions 524 to 776 of the family's 1533-position model. The record is from RNAcentral. RNAcentral also lists the same sequence under 1 other name.